This 697-nucleotide long non-coding RNA is filed under the name Struthio camelus australis. Its description in RNAcentral is "lncRNA (ENSSCUG00000015784.1)". Lineage: Eukaryota; Metazoa; Chordata; Aves; Struthioniformes; Struthionidae. The record is from RNAcentral.
CACCAAAAAUUCCAAAAGUCGGUUUUAUCCUUAAAAGGUUCCCUCCUGUGCGUUUCUUUUCUCAGAUGUCAGUGAUCUGGCAAUUAGCAAGAAGGCCCAACAGACCAAGGUUUGCCAUGAAUGCAAGAGCUGGCAGUACCCUCUCCAAGGAACCUGAAGAGCCCAGCCCCCAGGGAGGCAGGGAAAUGGAUUGCUCUACCACUGAGUGUCUCAAGCAAGCUCCAGAUUUCUUAUGCUGAAAAGAAAAGCUAGAGAUUAAAUGCUACAGAGUUUCAGGACACAGACCAUGCGUAGUAGCUGAAAUGAAGAAGCACCUAAAGAAGACUCUGCUGUUGUAUAUGCUGUAAUUUACAGUUUUCAUCAAGAUUAACUCAGAGGAAAUAGAUUUAUACAUAUAGACACAUUUGUCUCUGCUUUUCUUCCUAACCCCUUCUCCUUUAUUUGUUUCAUUUUUUCUUUGUCUCAGCGCAUCUCUUCUGCUCUUCUAUUCUUGUUUCCUUAAAUAAUCCCACCACUUCAUAUGUUUAGAUGUCUGCAGUGAAAAAAGUAAAAGAAAAUGGGUCAACGCUGGCUUUGCAGAGAACUUUAAUGAGCAACGCCCAAGGAAAUUCGGCUGUAAAGUCAGUGAAGAAGCCAAAAUGUUUAAAUUUCCCAGGCUCCAAUGCAUACUAGCCUAAUGUUCGUUUCAUCAGGAGGA